GUACACUCCUGCGGGAGGCAGCAGUGGGGAAUAUUGGACAAUGGGCGCAAGCCUGAUCCAGACAUGCCGCGUGAGUAAUGAAGGCCCUAGGGUUGUAAAGCUCUUUCACCGGUGAAGAUAAUGACGGUAACCGGAGAAGAAGCCCCGGCUAACUUCGUGCCAGCAGCCGCGGUAAUAAGAAGGGGGCUAGCGUUGUUCGGAUUUACUGGGCGUAAAGCGCACGUAGGCGGACUAUUAAGUCAGAGGUGAAAUCCCGGGGCUCAACCCCGGAACUGCCUUUGAUACUGUUAGUCUUGAGUUCGAGAGAGGUGAGUGGAAUUCCGAGUGUAGAGGUGAAAUUCGUAGAUAUUCGGAGGAACACCAGUGGCGAAGGCGGCUCACUGGCUCGAUACUGACGCUGAGGUGCGAAAGCGUGGGGAGCAAACAGGAUUAGAAACCCUUGUAGUCCC
RNAcentral lists this ribosomal RNA (449 nucleotides) under uncultured organism. Its description in RNAcentral is "partial 16S ribosomal RNA". It matches the Rfam family "Bacterial small subunit ribosomal RNA", at positions 331 to 797 of the family's 1533-position model. The record is from RNAcentral.